This is a non-coding RNA of Pelobates cultripes (western spadefoot toad), 555 nucleotides long. NCBI's taxonomy places the organism in Eukaryota, Metazoa, Chordata, Amphibia, Anura, Pelobatidae. The record is from the annotation of a GenBank genome assembly.
GCAUCCCAUACAUACACAGAAACACACCUUGCAGUCCUUACACAUACAAACACAAUUUCACACAAUGCAUUCCUUACACACAUAUCAGGACAUCCCCUACACACUCCACCCCCUGUGAACAAACUCAUUGGUGGAACAUGAAGGUGGACCCUGGGACCCAGACCUUGAUCUGUGUAAAGGACCCCCAAAAAAUGGAGCUGCUUCCAGUUCUCCCAGAACAUUGAUUUUUGUGACCACAAAAACAGUGGAGCCAGACUGCAGCUAGAGCCCAUCAUCAUCCUCAUCUGGUUGUAAGUAGGCAAUCUUGUAUAUUAUUCGUGGCACUAAGCUCUAAUUUACCUCACAUUAAAGAAACACUAUAGUCCCCAAAACCACUUCAGCUUAAUAUAGUGGUUCUGGUGUCUAUAGCCUGUCCCUGCAGGCCUUUUAAUGUAAACACGGCGGCACUGCAGCACUGGCGUUAGUUAACAUGGCAAAUCAUAUGGUUGGGGCAUUGUGAUGUCACAUGGGGGGCGGCAAACUUUACUUUUGCCUAGGGCGGCAAAAAUCCUUGUA